GUCUCGUAAUUUGGGUUACUGUGUAGGUGGCCUCUUUCAUCUAUUCAUAACAAAGCUAAGCCUCCUGCCGCCGCCACCACCAAAGCCCCUUAGCUCGCCCGGGGCUCCCGGGGCGCGUUAACAGCGCACCAAGCUGGCUCCGGCGCCUGUCCGCCCGCGGGGCUGCUCCAACGCUCGGGUUUUGUUUACGAGAGCGGCGCGGAGAGAUGCGCAAGGCUCGGGGAACUAGGACCCAGGCCGCCAAAGGGUUGCAGCUGAGGCCCGGGGCUCGGGCCACUGGGAGGCUGCGUGGGCUGCUGACAGGUGUGGAGCGGCGGGAGGGAGGCCCUGGGGAGGAGCGCGAGAGAGGGAAACACUGACAAGCCCGAGGCUCAAGGAACAGAGGCGCCCCUGUGACAGGAGAUGGGUUUCCCCGGGUCAGAGGAGUGAGGUGGAGGAAAGGCAGGCGCCGAGAUUCUGGUUCUGGACAAUCCCUGGGGCCGGAGCUCCCAUACUUGAGGAGGUUCUCUCAUUUCCCUUGGCAACGGAGACCCAGGCUUUCAAACCUAGCACUUAGAAAGUUCUACUCAUCAUCUAACCUGAAUGAUCAUGGCUAAUAUUUAUUGAGUGCAUACUGCGUGCCGGGUCCCGCUUGAAAUUCAUUACGUGGAUUAAAACUCAUUUAAUACCCAUAACAACCCUGUUAGUGACUUGUUGUAAUCAGCCCCAUUUCGUUAGGAGGGGUGGAGACGUUGCGGAACUCGCCGGGGGUCCUACUGCUGGCAGACAGCAGAGGCCUUGCCACUCCCUAGAAAAUAUGUCCACCAAGAUGGAUGAGAAGCAACUGGCAUCAGCUCUGAACUUGGGUUGUUGACAACAGGAAGCUCAACAUGUGGUCCCCAUGGUGAGGGCAGCCUCACUCGUCACCCAUGGUGGGGAAGGCAUUGGACGCACAGACAGCAUCAUGCAGAGUCCCAAGGGCAAAUCCGAUGGAAGGCUGAGUGUUUACCUCGCCAUUCUGCCCCUUCUCUAAUCC
Molecule: long non-coding RNA, 1015 nt
Organism: Bos taurus (domestic cattle)
Lineage: Eukaryota; Metazoa; Chordata; Mammalia; Artiodactyla; Bovidae
Source: Ensembl